GACGAACGCUGGCGGCGUGCUUAACACAUGCAAGUCGAACGGAAAGGCCCUGCUUUUGUGGGGUGCUCGAGUGGCGAACGGGUGAGUAACACGUGAGUAACCUGCCCUUGACUUUGGGAUAACUUCAGGAAACUGGGGCUAAUACCGGAUAGGAGCUCCUGCUGCAUGGUGGGGGUUGGAAAGUUUCGGCGGCUGGGGAUGGACUCGCGGCUUAUCAGCUUGUUGGUGGGGUAGUGGCUUACCAAGGCUUUGACGGGUAGCCGGCCUGAGAGGGUGACCGGCCACAUUGGGACUGGGAUAUGGCCCAGACUCCUACGGGAGGCAGCAGUGGGGAAUAUUGCACAAUGGGCGGAAGUCUGAUGCAGCAACGCCGCGUGCGGGAUGACGGCCUUCGGGUUGUAAACCGCUUUCGCCUGUGACGAAGCGUGAGUGACGGUAAUGGGUAAAGAAGCACCGGCUAACUACGUGCCAGCAGCCGCGGUGAUACGUAGGGUGCGAGCGUUGUCCGGAUUUAUUGGGCGUAAAGGGCUCGUAGGUGGUUGAUCGCGUCGGAAGUGUAAUCUUGGGGCUUAACCCUGAGCGUGCUUUCGAUACGGGUUGACUUGAGGAAGGUAGGGGAGAAUGGAAUUCCUGGUGGAGCGGUGGAAUGCGCAGAUAUCAGGAGGAACACCAGUGGCGAAGGCGGUUCUCUGGGCCUUUCCUGACGCUGAGGAGCGAAAGCGUGGGGAGCGAACAGGCUUAGAUACCCUGGUAGUCCACGCUGUAAACGGUGGGUACUAGGUGUGGGGUCCAUUCCACGGGUUCCGUGCCGUAGCUAACGCUUUAAGUACCCCGCCUGGGGAGUACGGCCGCAAGGCUAAAACUCAAAGGAAUUGACGGGGCCCCGCACAAGCGGCGGAGCAUGCGGAUUAAUUCGAUGCAACGCGUAGAACCUUACCUGGGUUUGACAUGGAUCGGGAGUGCUCAGAGAUGGGUGUGCCUCUUUUGGGGUCGGUUCACAGGUGGUGCAUGCCUGUCGUCAGCUCGUGUCGUGAGAUGUUGGGUUAAGUCCCGCAACGAGCGCAACCCUUGUUCACUGUUGCCAGCACGUUAUGGUGGGGACUCAGUGGAGACCGCCGGGGUCAACUCGGAGGAAGGUGGGGAUGACGUCAAGUCCUCAUGCCCCUUAUGUCCAGGGCUUCACGCAUGCUACAAUGGCUGGUACAGAGAGUGGCGAGCCUGUGAGGGUGAGCGAAUCUCGGAAAGCCGGUCUCAGUUCGGAUUGGGGUCUGCAACUCGACCUCAUGAAGUCGGAGUCGCUAGUAAUCGCAGAUCAGCAACGCUGCGGUGAAUACGUUCCCGGG
RNAcentral lists this ribosomal RNA (1343 nucleotides) under uncultured bacterium. RNAcentral describes it as "16S ribosomal RNA". It matches the Rfam family "Bacterial small subunit ribosomal RNA", at positions 28 to 1378 of the family's 1533-position model. The record is from RNAcentral.